CGAUGUGGCCGAGUGGUCUAAGGCGCCAGGUUAAGGUCCUGGUCCGCAAGGGCGUGGGUUCGAACCCCACCGUCGU
This 76-nucleotide transfer RNA is filed under the name Ostreococcus mediterraneus. It matches the Rfam family "tRNA". From Rfam's summary of the family: Transfer RNA (tRNA) molecules are approximately 80 nucleotides in length. Their secondary structure includes four short double-helical elements and three loops (D, anti-codon, and T loops). Further hydrogen bonds mediate the characteristic L-shaped molecular structure. tRNAs have two regions of fundamental functional importance: the anti-codon, which is responsible for specific mRNA codon recognition, and the 3' end, to which the tRNAs corresponding amino acid is attached (by aminoacyl-tRNA synthetases). tRNAs cope with the degeneracy of the genetic code in two manners: having more than one tRNA (with a specific anti-codon) for a particular amino acid; and 'wobble' base-pairing, i.e. permitting non-standard base-pairing at the 3rd anti-codon position. Lineage: Eukaryota; Viridiplantae; Chlorophyta; Mamiellophyceae; Mamiellales; Bathycoccaceae. The record is from RNAcentral.